Molecule: long non-coding RNA, 17511 nt
Filed under: Marmota monax (woodchuck)
Lineage: Eukaryota; Metazoa; Chordata; Mammalia; Rodentia; Sciuridae
Source: RNAcentral
CGGACUUGAGGUUAUUUAUUUGGGAAGCGCCUGGACGGCGGAGGUUGGUGGUGGCUGUGGCUGCGGCAGAAGGUGGUUAAAAAAAGGAGGAGGCGGCGGCAGCGAGUGAUGGGAGCGCCGAGGCUCCCAGGCGCAGGCCAGAGCUGCGGAGCUUUCCAGGCACCGCGGGAGUGCUGAAGAGAAAGGGGAGCGUCCGGGGACCCGCAGCCGGCUCCUGAGGCGCGGGCUGGGUUUUUGUUCAGCGGCGCUCAGCGCCUGGCAGCAGGAGCGAACUACUCGUAACAACAACAACAACCCACCUUUCAGCAGCUCAGCGAGACUUAGGCUGCUGCGUCUGUCCUAUUGUUUAGACACUUGCCAGGGGCUCCAGAGCGGCAGACCCCGCUCUCUGUCGCCGCCUUUCCUCUCCCUCACCUCCCUCCAGGGAGCGGGAGGCAGAGAAAGCAGCCGGGAGAGGGCAGGAGGCAGGAAGGAAGGACUGCCCUGGACUGUAGCCGCCGAGUCAGGUGCCGCAUCUGGAGCCGGGUGGUGUCUCCAACGUCGGCGAGAGGACUGCUACCGUGGAGGUGGGAGACGGUAUCCCAAACCUGGGAAAAGUUCCUGCACUUUGAGAAGGAGAACCCACUUGUGGGAGGCUGCCAAGGGGCGAGAGAGAAGCUGCGCCCGCUUGGAGCUGGCUGUUGUUUCUUCCACCUUUGCCAUCAGGUGUCUGCCACGGAGCUGCAGCGUAUCCGGGAGACGAGAGGGGCUGACACGCGCGCGCACACACAUUGCCAUUCAGCUAUCGCCUGGGCUCUACCUGGAGUAGCGGAUCCCACCCUCCCGCUGGCCACCUAGCUGUCCUCCAGACAAACUAGCAGGGCCCGGGUCGUGAACACCUUGGCCUUUGCCUUUCCCCUCCUUCCGGCCUGCCUUCUUGCAAGUCCUGCGCUAGUCAGUGCCUGUUUCGCCUUCUCUGGAGCUCUAGUGCUAAACUUGGCUUCUUGGAUUUCCUUUGCUGAGAUUUUGACUAGUGGAUAUUCCUGUCCCGCUGCAGCGGUCCUACUGCCCUUUUGUCUUUCUGUGUGACCUCAGGGCAGGCCCUGGUGCAGAGCGUCGCCAAGGACGCCGGGCGGGAGGCGGGAUUGCCGAGGAGACAUCCUUCAGCGAAGUACAUGUGUGUUUGCAAACCAUCCUUGGCUGUCGGGAGAUUGCGAGGACCGGUAGGGGCUACCGCUGAGCAGCAGGCUGGGGAGAGGCCGCGGGAGUGAACCGAGCCCUGCACCCUGCAGCGCCGCCCCCAGUCCCCUGGGCUGCACAAACGCCCGGUGCGCCCCCGCGCGCCAUGCCCAGUUGCUCGGCGCGCUCCGCUCCGGGCCCGAAGGGCUUCUGCGCCUUCUAGCUUCAAGGAGUCCACUUUGAUCAAGACCACCAUUACUACUGAGCGCCCCUCUUCCUCCUCGCACUUCUCCCAGCCCCACUGGAAUCGAAAUUGUAGAGCAGUGUGUGGGAUCUGAGUAUCAUCUCACUCUACCCCCUGGCAGCCGUCCUUUGCAUCUUCACAGUCCUAGGAAGUCUCAGCUCUUUUACCGCCAAGUGGUUUCUUCAGCGACAGAAAACGUGUGAUUUCCUCCCCCACUGCUCUUGGGGUCUCCUUGCAGCCUUGGCCAGGCCAUUGAUCUUCAGGUUCGAAAGUUGCCCACGGAGUUCCUGCCCUGCUACAAAAGGGUGUAGAGGGAAGGGGAAGGCGUGAGCCUGUUCUGGCUCUCCUGCCUUGAAUAUUAAUUAUUACUGUUCCAUAUUAUUUUGUGCACAUUUCCCCGGGCACUCUGGGUUGCUAAUCCCGCGCCAAGCACUGGGCCUCAGACACUGCACCGUUCCGUCGGAGCAGCGAGCUAAAGAGAAAUCCCCAACGCCGGCAAGCCAGGAGGCGGCGGGGGAAGAUGCGCGGCACUGGCUGGCAGACGCUGUCCCUGUCGCUGGGGUUAGUGUUGGCGGUCCUGAACAAGGUGGCGCCGCAGGCGUGCCCGGCGCAGUGCUCCUGCUCGGGCAGCACUGUGGACUGUCACGGGUUGGCACUGCGCAGUGUGCCCAGGAAUAUACCCCGCAACACAGAGAGACUGUGAGUAUGGGUUCUUCGCCCUCCCCUUCUCCCCAUCGCGGUAGCGCACGCUUUGCUGGGAACCUGAAGUGACCCAGCAAUACAGGGACCUGGGACUUGUGCCUGGUGAAGCCUCACUGGCUCUCCAGAUCGCUCAUCCUGGGUUGGGCCCGCCUGGAGGGCCAAGUACUGGAAGGCACAGCCCAGGAAAGGGUCACUGCCCAGGGAGGGGCGGGUCCGCUGGCAGCUGCGUUUGGUCCCUUUUCCCUGCUCUUGUCCCGCCACUGCCACUAGCAGCCUCUUGUGGACGAGUUGUUCGGGACUGUGCAGAUGGGAGCUAGGGAACAAGGAUGAGAAGAUGCCCCAGGCUAGGAGACACGACUUUGUUUUCAGAUUCCUUAUAAAGAGUCACCUUGCUGUUGCAAACAUUCUUAGGUCUGUUUUAGGAUGAGUCCCCGCCCUUGUCCCCCCCCCGCCCCCCCCGUUAGCGUGGAGGAGAUGGCAGGGGAUUCAAAGAGAGAAACUUAGGCUCCCUGUCUUUGUGUUCCCCUCCCAGGAAAGAAGGGAGGGGAGAAAGAGUCAUGGGGUGUCCUGGGAUAUUACUAUCAGGCAGGAAGGGUGCCCCAGUAGGGCCACAGCUGGCUUAGUGGCGGUGCGCAGCCCCCUGCUACUCCCCCCCACCCCGCCCCUGCCCUCUACUUCUGCCCAGAGGAUGCGGAGGUAGCGGGCCCCAAGGGACUCUCCCAAGCUGGACUCUUCCAAGCUGGCGACUGCAGCGGAGACCGGCGUCCCAAGGUUUAAGUGAAGUUAGUGUACUGGUUCUCCAAACCUGAACCAGCGCAGAUAGAUCAGACUGCUUAGGCGACCCGGCGGGCCUCGGCCGCCCCCUGCGGCUCUUCCUGCUGAGCCCCUGUCCCCCUGUCCACCUUUCUGGCAGUUUCUGCGUCCCUUCACGUGGCAGCAGCUCCUCUUUCUGCCCCUCUUCGCGCUCCGGUGCCCACAGACAUCCCCGCCUCCCUGCCUCUGCUGGUCUCUAAUGAAGAAGUAAACGCAGUCCUGGCUUUGACGGCCCACGCGCUCCUGGUGGGGCGCUUCCCGAGUUCAGGGAAGCGGAGCAUGGAGGCCAUUCUCUUUGUGAAUGCGGAGCCGCCGCCCCAGUCGCCCGAGCGCCCUAGGCGCGCUAGUGUUCUCACGAUGGCGCGUGGGCCGGGCGGGUGAGGGCGAUGGGGACCAGUGCGCUGGGACUCCGCUCCCGUGGCCUCCUUCCCUCUGGGUCUGAGGGCCAUGAACUGCGGAGAGGACGCCCUCAGAUUCGCACUUCUGCGCCAGUGCAGUCUGCAGCGCCUUGAGUCGCCCUUCUUAUCUAAUCCAUCUCUCUGGCCUCUGCUUUAAAGGCCAAGUUGAGCCCUUUCUUCUUUUGGAAAGGCUCAUCUGUCCCCCAGCCUCACUGGGUUGCCCCCUACUCUUUUUCUUCAUUCACCCCAAACCCUUAGUGCUGCGCAAGUUGGGCCUUACCAGGGUUGCCUCAUCAAGAUGUGAUCCCCGACAUUUGCCUCGGGUGGGAGGUAGGGAUUCCGUGUUAUAUUGAAUACCCAAUAAACGACCCCGAUGAUUUUCUGAACAACUUAAUGAGACUUUGCUCAGCGUAUAGAAAUAGGCAAAAAAGGAAGGAAAGUAAUGCAGAAUUCUGUUUUUGUACUUGUCAUUUCAUGCUGUUCCAAUUAGUUUAUAGUGUAAGCACUAACGUGUCUUCUUACUCAACCAAAAGGGCAUUACUCGGGGGGGAAAAAUGACAAUUGGGUUUUGGAUCCUUGGGAAAAUAAAAAAUCCCUGUAAGGGGAUUUUUAAAGAGGUUUCAGAAAAUAGUAUAGUCAGUGUUGUCUUAUAAAAUUCUAUCAUUGACAAAGUAAAAACUUAAAAUACAUAUUUCAAACAUGAAGUUUUUAGGACUAAAGUAAGAGAGAAUUUAGGACCUUGCAGGAGAACAUUCGAAUCUCAGCAAAAGCUGGUUUUACCUGAAAUGAUUGGAGGCAGGGCAAGUUUAGAUCUUGACCUGAGAUGCCAGAAAAGAAAAAGAGGGGGUUGUGACUCUUGAAGGAAAAGUGGUGCUGAAAUCUGAACAAAAAUGUUAGGGCCUGAAUACCACUUCCAUUAUUGCCCCCGCUAGUAGUUUUCGCUUUAUAAUCACAGCGGGGUUCCCUGAGCUGCAAAUGAAGAGUUUAGUUUUCAUACAAACAUAGAAUUGUUGGAAAGUAAAUGCAGGUCUUUGAAGUGCAUUUCUUUUGAUGGCCCUCUAACUUUCUUCUUUACCUUAGGAAGUUUAGCCACCAUGCUCCCAUAAGGAUAGUGUUCUUUCUAGCUUUUAAAACUUUGUUCUUGAAUAGUAUGAGAAAAUAAUUUCUUUAACUUUCUGAGGGGAACUCCAGUAAUAGGAAAAUAACAGAAUACCUGUGAAUUUGAUACACAGAUCCUUAUAAAAGCAAAAAUCAAAAGCACACCAUACACACACACACACACACACCAAAAGAACAAUUUUCAUGAUAAUACAAUUACUUCAUUUUCUUGUCAUCAUGGGCCAGCCAGGAUGAACUUUGUAAACUUGAGCAUUUAUGCAAUAUUAUUUCAAAGGUUGUGGUUGUCCCCUUCUCUCUCCCAUUUGUUUUCUAAACCAUACACUAAUUAAUUUAAUUUUUAGGCUUAAAAGUUCAAACCUACUUUAAAUUUAACUUUGCUUAACUAAGUUAAUAGAAAUAAAAUGGAGCUUUCAUUUUCUGGUUGUCUCUUAGGGAUUUGAAUGGAAAUAACAUCACACGGAUUACGAAGACAGAUUUUGUGGGCCUUAGACACUUAAGAGUUCUGUAAGUUUUCUUCUGUAAUAUGGGGAAUUGUAUUGUAUUGAAGAUUGCACUUUGAGAAUUGCUAAUAGUAUCAGUUUUUCAAACCUUUCCAAUGACAGAAAUUUUAAAAAUGUAAAGGCCUUGGUUUCUUUAUUUAUUUUACUAAAAGCACAACUUUUAGUAAAAAUUUGGGCUUUUAUUUUAAGUUUGAACACAUGCCAUAGAAACAAUGUUAUAGAAAUGACCUUAAGACUGUUUUAUCAUACCCUAAGUGCCUUAUGCAUAUAAACUUGUAGAAUAGUUGCUUUCAUAGUGUGAAUAAAUAAUGUGGGACAUCUGAUAUUUUAGUGUUUGAGAUUAACUUGAAAAACUCAGGUAGAUCUGUGUUUAAAUAUUAUUGAGCUAAAAAAUAUUUAGACUUUUUUUCUAAGAAAAAGUAAUUUCUAACAUUAAAAUCAAGCCAUCCAUCUUUUUAACAGAGCUUAGGUAGAAAAAUGUUUAUCUAUAAAAAAGCAUCAUUAGUUAUAUUUUCAGUUAAUUUCCUUACCUUUAAUAUCUUUGUAGAUUACAUAAAAUAGUUGCACUCUGAUUACUUCUUUACUUAGUGGGUUAAUUUAGCUGUGAAUAAACCAUUACUCAAAGUCAAUGCUACAUAAACUUGUUUUCUCCCACAAGAUUGUAUAUAUUUAUGUCUUAAAGGUCAUAUGCUUUUGACCUCUAUAUACCCAGUGUUCAAUUUUUAAAACAUAUUUUAGCCCUUAUGAAAUAUUUUGGUUGCUGAUGGGUAUCCAUAAGUCAUAAGUGAAUAUGUGUAUGAUGAAUUACUGUAGUUAAGAACACAGUUGAAAAUCAGUGUACCAAAAACAGCUAUCAAAGCUGCAAUUUCACUGCUCUUUUGUUAUGUUUAAGGUUUAGAGUUUGAAUAGUAAAUUUAGUGAGAAACUGCUUUAAUGUUUCUGUAAAAGUUUUGUGAUGUAGAUGCUUUUUCUUCUCCAUGAGUUCUUUCACAUAUAUCACCAUUAAAUUUGCUCCUAGUUCUCAAAGCAGAGCAAAAUCUAACUUUAAAGAGAGAAAGAGGUUAUAAAUGUUCAGUUACUGAAUUGAAAUUGACUUAGAUGGUAACAUUAAGAAGCAUGUUACAUUUUUUUUUUCAUUUCAGUCAGCUUAUGGAGAACAAGAUUACCACCAUUGAAAGGGGAGCAUUCCAGGAUCUUAAAGAACUAGAGAGACUGUAAGUAUUUUCAAUUCCAAACUCAUGACAACAUGACUGUAUUUUUACAAACACUUGAAUUUCAAGGCUUAUGUCUUCGAUCUCAUGUUUUAGCUUUAAAAAGCUUGCAAAAAAAGUGGGGGGAGAUGAGUAAGUGGUUUUCAGACAAAUUUACAAGUAGAGUUUCUGGAUAUAGGAUAUUAAUUUGUAAUAAAGCACAAAUUUACUUUUCUGAGAUGUUUAUAUACUUGGUAACCAUUGCUUUGGUACUGAAAGAUGUACAUACAUGUUUUUCUUAUUUGUUCAUCUGAUUUGUUUGCUUGCCUAUGCAGGAAGAGAGGUGGACCUUUUGUUCCGAUUAAUAGUACAUAUGGAAGGGAUGUUUUUCUAAUAGUAAUUUUAAUUUCUAUGAUGUUACUUGGUGUGUCAUUAGUGAUAUUAUAUUUUUUUCUGAUGAUGAUUUAACUUUUUAUCAUUAGAGUGAACAUUAUUAAUAAUUGUUAUUCACAGCUUUAUUUUGUUAUGCUAUAGUAGCUUUUCAAAUAUUCCUUUUGGGAAAUAAGAAAGAUUACCAAAGUAAGAUCUGUUAUCAAUGUGUAGUCAUUUAACAUUGACCUUUGUUUUUCCAAAAUUAAAUGUAACCUUCAAAUUAAAAUCUAUUUUUUAGACACAAAUUCUUAAUGGAUUUAUAUUUAUUACUUGAGGAUUUUUUAGAUUCACAGUAUAUAUUUACAUCAGACAAAACCUCUAUCUGAAAUAGAAAAAAAAUUACAGACUUUGUAGUUUGAAAUGUGAUUUCAUGUCUCAUAGAUCUUGAUUAUUCCACUUUAGUAGGUUUGUAUUCUUAGGACAAGUAACAGAUUUACUAAAAGUAGUAACAAUUAUUUAACAGUUUUCACAUCUGAUUUAAUAGUCACUUUAUAUACAAAUAACACUCUUAUUUCAAAUAACAAAAUAUAUUCACUUUAAGCAGAACACACAGUCGUAUUCACUAGGCCCAAAGGCAGAAGUUAAUUCUGUGUAAUUGUCCCUAAGUUGAAAAAUGACUCAUCAUCUUCUGAGAUAUUUAUAAAUGCAUAGAUUUCAUUUUUAUGACUUUAAGUAAAACACAGAAAUAUGUACUAUAUUUAUUAUAAAACUUGGCCAUGAUAAAUAUUGAAAUAUGGGGAAUAUAAUUGUAGAGUUCAAACUAAAUUUAAAACACUACUUUGAGCUAGUUUUGGGGGAAAGUAAAAACAAGAUAAAUAUUUGGUUGAAUUCAUAGUGAAGUUCAUAAAUUCAUAACCUAUGUCUAAAUACAUAAAAUUAUUCUGAAAUUAUUAUUUGAUGUUCUUCAGAAGCAUUCAUAGGCUUUGUGACUAACUCACAAAUUUAUCUUUAAUCCAUCUAUUUUUAAAAUAUUGAUAUAAUCAUUUAAAUGAAUAGAAAAUUUCAUAAUUUUACAUAUAUAUAAUAUAUAAUGUAUAUAUAUAUAUAUAUUAUAUAUAUACAGUUUUGCAAGAAUAACUUCUAGCAGUCACAAAGAAGUAUCUAUAUCUUGGUUUUUAAACAAUUUUUGAAUCAUAGAAGGAGUCUUAAUGGUUUUUCCUGCAGCCUCUACUUUGGUUAUAUUGUGUAAAUAUUUUAAGAAAGACUAGAAGAAAACACACUUUCUGGUUAUUUUUCAAGCCACUUCCAAAUAUCAUUUGAACUUUCAUCUUGACUAAAUUAACUUUUCCUAAAAAUUAUUAACCAGAUGCUAUAUGAUCUGAAAUUUGAUUAGAGUUGUAAGUGGUACUAUUUUUUGACUUUGCCUUCCUCUGGGAAUGUCACUUCAUCUCAGAACAAUUUUCUGUUCUACUAAGACUAAGUCAGAUGUUUCAGAGUGGGAGGAGAAUUUGUAAUUUUGAAUGAAAACUAAUAUAUAUGCAGGACUUCUUUAAAUCACCCCAGCUGUUGGCUGAGAGCAAAUAUUUCAUAUUUGUGAGGAAAAGCUGAGAAAAAUUCCUUUUGUUUACAACUGCCAAGUCCAUCUGAUGGAAGCACAUUGUUAUCUGACAGCCAAUUCAUCUCCUUGGGACUCUGGAAUUCAAAACCAUUUCUUAGGAACAUUGUGGAUACACUUUUCAAAUAUUUAUUUUUUAAAUACAUUAAAUGGCAAGCAGUUUUACUAAGGAAUGCAUUCAAGUUAUUGUGAAACAAAAAAAAUUUUAAUUUUGUUCAGCAUAUUGUUUUAAAAAUAAAAACGUAAAACAACAACAAAAAAAAUCUAUCUUGUGAGUAUCAUUCUCAGAUUAUUAUGGCCUCUAGUAUAUACCCUUUUUUAAUCGGGGUCAUUUAACAUCACAAAAUUGCUUGCUUUUUCAAAGAAUAGCAAGGGACAAUGUGAAAGACAGGCAGUAAUCAAUGAAUUAACUUUAGCUAUGAAUUGUGUAAACUUAAAUGAUUUUUAAUAAUUUAGAUGUGAGAUUUUAUACUCUCAAUUAUGAAAAGAUGUAAAAGUGCAGGCAUAUCUUGUAAAUACCAUCCAUACAGUGAACAGUGAUUUAAUUUUCUUUCCUUGUAUGAAGAUCAAAAAAAUAAAUAAAAAAUGUUUAUUUUACUUGUGUGUAAUGUAUGGUUCUAAAUUAUUUUCAUUUUAAAGUGAUAAAAUAAUUGUAAAUGAUUUUUGUGAAAAUUUCAAAGUUAUAUUUAUCUCUUAUUUUAUUUUGAUGUCGUUUACACUUGAUCUAGAGGGGAAAAAAAGAUCUGAAAGCAGAAGAUAAGAUCUAUGCCUUUUUAUAAAUCCAACUUUUAAUCUGUAAGAAGCAGGAUCCUGUUGUUAAGUUGAAUUUAAUGUUAGCAUGGAAAAAGAAAGCCAUUAUUUGUAAAUCAAAGCAGUAUAGCUACAAAAGAAAGAUAUUUUUUCUACUUCAAAGAAUGGAUGCAAUUCUAAAAUCUCAAAGCCAAAUGUCAAGAAGUACAUGGAUGUUGAAAUCCUUCCUUCCUCUUGUCUCCUUCCUCAUCCCUUUCUUCCUGUCUCUCCCUCCUUCAUGUCUUUCUUCCCCUCAUUGUUUUCUCCCUUCCCCCUUUCCUUUGGUUUAUUUUUCCCCACCUUCUCCUCUUGUUUCCUUUUCACUCCCUUCUUUGUGUUGUUUAGAAACGACAUCAGAUGAUGUGGUCAUCAUCAGAAUGUGGUUAUGAAUCACUGUAAAGGGACUAAGUUAAUUGCACCUACACACCAUGAGCACACAUGACUUCCUGUUUUGUCACUCUGCCACCACACUCCCAGACCUACCACGUGCAGUGGCAGAUUUUCUAAGAGGCUUUGUAUUGCCAGCAGUCUCAGUUUUUCUGGGAAAAAAAAAUGAAACCUUGAGUACUUUAAACCUUUUUAUAUUGUAUUAGCUGAUCUCCUGUCGUUUAAUCAGAAAGUUCUAUAGAAAUCUAAUGUAGUUAAAUGACUAGCUAAUUCAGUACAAAUCAAUUAAGAGGGGAAAAAAAAAUACCAGUUAACUACAGUAACAAUUCAGAACACAUAAGAAGUAUGCUUCUUUCAUGUACUUCCUAGAAGAUACCUUUAUAUAUCCACAAUAAAUUCUCCAGACAAAAUUACUAAUACAAGAUAUUUCUCAGCUGGUACAUAAUUCUCUAGAUGGUAUUUUUUUUUUUUUUAAAGUAACAUUGGGACCCAGAAGUUCUGUGGGCUGGUAUAAAAUUCUGUGGCUUACAUAAAUUUACAAUUCAUGUACCAUUGUGAUAAUGCUUUGUAGUCAUUGAGCUAUAUUUUACGGCCUUUUUUGACAAGCUAGAAUACUUCAGGGUUCCACUAUUGAAAACCAUCUUCCUCUUUUGAAAAUUCCUUCAUAACACAAAUGCAAGAGUAUAAGAAAGUUUAAGGCUGUCAUUUCAAAGACAUUUUGGUAGUAACUUCAGGACUGCAAAAAUGAAACUUAGAUAUGUUUAUCUAGCUUAUAUUAAGAGACCAAGAGCAUACCAUGGAAAAUCUUGGCUAUUAGGCUUUUCCUGGACAUUACAAUCACCUUAUAAUCUUCAAUAAGGAAAUUGUUGAAGUGAUAAAGGCAAGUACACAGACUGUGCCGUAUUCUCCCAUUAACAAUGUGCUUUUCACACAAAUAUUCUUUAAAUCUUUCCAGUUUUAGUCUCUUUCUAUCUAAAAUGACAUUUUCUUUCCUUAAAAUUUUCUCUGGCUAUUCAUUUUUUUUUUUUUCUGGAUAAAUUUGUCCUUAAAAUAUUGAAAAUGUAGCCAUAUGUUGAAUCCUGAAACAUAAGCCUGUUAAAUAUUUUAAAGUUCCGGCAGAGUAAAUACAAAACAAAAAUAACAAAAUUUCCAACAAGUUGAUGCAAAUCCAAUAUAUUCAUUUUAAUUUAGAGAAAUCUUAGUCUCUUCCCAAAGAGCCUAUCUUUGAAUAAAUACUGUAUUUUUAUCAAAGAAUAUCCAAGGGGCACAUUUCUUUUCUUUUCCCAGGGUGGUGCUGAAUUAGUCCUCUUUUCAUGAACACACCAUUCAUAAGCAAGUGACAGUGUGAGGUUGAGAGCCCUGGCACUCUACAGCCUUUGUUGUGGGUUGCUACACAUGAAUUCAAGUGGAGAAUAUGUGGUGGAACAGGUCUGAAGGAAAGCACAGUUUAUCCUGUUCAUCAAGGAUGUCAAGAACCCCUCUUCUGACUCAUCCUACAAGUUUGUAGGCAACACAUAAUAUAUAUCUUUUCUUAUUGUAAGGACAAACAAACCAUGCUCUCUCCUUGGACAGGAAUGUGAGCUCAUUUCAAGAGUUGUUCUCUGGUAUCUUUGCACCUAGGUUGAAAGGCACUGUGGUUGCUUUCUUAGAAAUUCUCUUUGAAGAAAUAUAUCAAUUUAACAGAGGUUGAGUGUGCACGUUACAUAAGGUAAAAAUACUCUAAAAUAAAUACACAUGGACUAUUUUAAAUUGUUUUUCCUGACUCUGGCCAUAGAAAGCUUUAAUGCAAAUGAGCUGUUGCAAGUUUAGCAGAAUAUUCAAUCCAAGAGGAUUUCUUGUGCAACCUGUUUUUAUGGUCUCUGAAGUCAAACUGUAGUGAGAAGGCCUGUUUGCCCUUAUAAAUUCUGAAGCAGCAAGGCUGUUUAUUUUUCCCACAUCUGUUUUGGGCUCAUCCUUUGUGACAGUGUUUGCUGGAUGCUGUGUCUUUUAUACCUCCUUUGAAAUGAAUAGCUUCGUUUGCACUGUUACAAGGUAUUUGUGGAAGCAGUGAAUGUCAAAUAUUUUACAUUUUAUUCUGUUUUUCAUUACUUUUUGGAUGGAUACCUUUCUGGCUGAGUUAUGCCUUCUACACUGCGUUUCCCAACUUUGCACAGAAUGAGGCUUUUGUGCAUGGACUUCAUAUGUAUUGUUUUUAUCUUUUUCAAAGAAAGUUAUAUCUGCUGGUCUGGAAGGAAUAUUCAUUGGUAGAAAUCCUUUCAGAAUGAAAUCUUGAUAAUAAUAGGAAUAAUCUGGUACUAUCAAAAUUGAAAUAUUGUUUCAAGAUAGCAUUUACAAAAAAAAAAUAUUUGGUUUUCCUAAUUUGAGCAUCCAUCUACUCUGAAUGCAGGUAGGCAGUUCGGAAAGACUGGCUUUGUGUGGCUCUUUUAGGAUUUGGUGUUGGAACACAGAGUUUGAAUUAUCUAGAACUCCUGUGUAUAGGCACCUUGCAAUAUUCACAGCUGCUGCCUGGUGUCUCCUGAAACACCAGGCAAAUACUUAUCAGUUGUAUUGUUGACUAUACUUUCUAACCAAAUACAAAGUUUCCCUCCCUCUUUUAGAAACAGAAACAUUAGGUAAGAGAGAUACAAAAAAAUAUCCUUAAUUAUGGUUCCCCUAUGAGAUCUUGAACACCUUGCUUCAUCUUUAAAAACUUCAGUUUCCUCAUCUUUAAAACAAGGAUAUAUAUUAUGGUAUAGCUUAUACUUGUAGUAGAUGAUUUAGGUAAGGUAAUGUACAGUUUCACAAAAUUCUUUGCACACAGUGCCUAAAGAACUAUCAUUAUGCAUUUCAAUAUACCUUUUAUUUCUCAGAAGUUGAUUUAAAAAUUAUGUUAUCUUAACUAUUAAUGUGUGUGCAUAACAAAUUUAUGCACUGUAUAUUAAAAUUAUGCAACACUAUAUGCAUUAUACUGUUAAUUUCAUUCUGAUUUUCUGUUAGCAUGUAGUAUGUGAUUAACAGAAGAGACAUGAAGAUAAUUCAAAUUCUUCACGUUUUGUUUCAGAAUGUUUGUUGUAAACUUUUUGAAUUGUAGAGAAAUAUGAAUAAGUAAAAGAACUAAAUUGGAAGCAGCCUUUUUUUUUUUUUACUAAAAAGAAUUGACCUUUAUAGCACAGAAUACAAGGGAUGAAAUUAUCAUUGAUAUCACUACUUAAAAUACAGAACUAUUAAUUUAAUACAAGCUAAGUUGAUAAUGCUGUUGAAAAUUCAUGUUUUUGUAAUGCAUGAUAAAUGUUAAAAUACUUGAUCUAAAAAUAUUAGAAUAAAAACAUUUAAGAAAAGAUAAUUGGAAAUUUUGUCUAAGAAGAGGUCAAAAUAGGGAACUAAUUAGUUCUAUUCCUGGCCAUUUAUGUAUGAGAAACAGGAGGUUGGAAAUGAUAAACUUUCUAAGGCAAAUUUAUCAGAUGUUUAUUACAGACCAAGUGUGCUGCAAAAAUACCCUACAUUGAGAAUGACAUGUAAGAAAAAAAGCAUGAAUUUUUCACUGGCUUUGGUGAAACUGUUCUUAUUUUACAUUUUAAAUUGGAUGGAAGAUUACCAAUAUUAAUUAAAUUGACAUAGAAGUUGAAUACAAUAAGAGAAUAUAUUGUCUAUGAAAGGACAAGAGUCACACGGGAGCAGCUAGCACAUGAUAAUUUAGAACAAAGCUUGUCGAUAAUGUUCAGGUGCCCUUCGAAUUAAGGUUGUUAAGAAUCAGCAUUUCAGAGGCCAGUGGUGUUUUGCGUGACACGGAAAGGUCAUUCACUCUAAUGAAAGUCAAACUCAAAAUUAGCUGGUACCAGAGAAUGAGCACUUAUUGGGACUCCUUCUCAUCUUUGCUCUAAAAUAAAGUGUCUGGGAGAAAGAUCACGCACCUUUCUCAAUCCAGGAAUGCCAUACAGAAAAUUCCCAGACAGUUUUGGAAUCUUGGAGGCAGAUUCCACCUACGGAUGAUGAUGCAGAGCUAGGUGUCAUUUUACCUCUGCUAUCUCCUCAGACAUGAUUAAAUGUCAUUAAGUGUCCUUGCUCUGAGUAGUCACAGUUGACUUACCUAGUCUGUACAAUGAGCAAGUUUAUGUGGGCCCCAUAAACAGUCCUGCUCAGUAUCAUCUGUUCCUUACAUCUGUUUUCCUGUCCUGCAACUACCACAUUUUAAUAUCAGCAGCUCACUUUUGUUAUAGUUCUUAUUAUAACACUGCUCUUUAAGCCACUAACAAUUGUUUUGUAUGUGGAAUUGGAAGGAAGAUAACUUUUUCUUCAGCUCUUUUUAAGUACUUGUUUUGCACCUUAAGAGUCUUUAUUGUAAUUCUCUAUUUAAAAAACUGCUCUUUAGAUUAAGGAUUUAAUUUAUGGUCUUUGUACAAUAAUACAUUACAUAGUUCUUGAUAUAUCAUAUUUCACACUUUGGUUCAAGUGGGUUAUGAACUCCCAUUUUUACCCCGUAUACAGAUUGCAGAAUCACAUCAGUUACACAUCCAUUGAUUUACAUAUUGCCAUACUAGUGUCUGUUGUAUUCUGCUGCCUUUCCUAUCCUCUACUAUCCCCCCUCCCCUCCCCUUAAAUAUUUUCUUUAUUAAAUAUUUUUUGGAAGAGCUUCUUCUUUUUUUUUUUUUUUUUUUUUUUACUGUUUUUGUUUCCAAUUAACCUUAGUACUGAUGGAAGAGAAAAUAUAACAGGAGUCGGAAGCCCAAAGUGAACAUACUCUUUUUAAGAAAAAAACAAAAAACAAAAAUUUUAAAAACCAGCAAACGUGCCCUGUUUUCUAUCUGCAUAUUAUGCAUCACUUACUGAUACUGGCCCUUUUUGUCUAAUACUAUGUUGUCUGAUGCUUAAAAUGGAAAUGUUUCAUAGUUGGUUUAAACAUAUUUAAAUAUCAUUCAUAAUUGCUUUCCUGAAAGAGUGAAAAAAUGCUUGAAUUCAGAGAAAAAAAGUUUCACCUGUAUUUUUUUUUCUUUUUCUCUCAACCGUAGGUAUUUAAAAUAGACAUUUAAAAGGUGAAUAUAGAGUCAUUUUUUAAAAAAUAAAACUUGGUGUUUUAUUUUCAGAUGAUUAGUUUGUAGAUGUUUAAGAAACUGGUUAUACAAAACUAUGUUUUUCUGAAGGAAAAAUUGGUGAAAAGUAAAGUUUCAGCAAUACAUUAUUUUGAAUUAUUGUUUAGGAAUGUUAUUCUGUGUUCUUCUGUAACUCAGAAGAUAUGUUCUGGAGUCAUGCCACUUGAAUUCAAAUUCUAGCAGUCUUUGAGCUCCAUGUCUCCCUCCAAAACAGCAGUUAAAAGUUGUAUCUACAUGGGGGAUAUUGUGAAGAGUGAACGAGAUAAUUCAUGUAAACCUGGCAGAACAGGGAGUAUCACAUAGUAAGCUUAAUGCACUUACCUACUACUCGUGGAGCAAAUUAAGAAACACUGGGAAUAUGAAGUUGAUAAAUAAGAGCAGUUCCUACUCUGAAAUAUCUACUUUUUCACAACACAUGAAGUUGUAUUGAUGCAGACCCCUAACAAGACAACCGUCAUUCACUUGCAUUUCUGGAUUUGUUUAAAUUCAUUAAAUUUCUUUCAACUCUAAGUGAUGCUGAGAAUGUUUCAGGUGGGAGCAAGAGAGUGGGCAAAGAGGUUGAUGGAAAGGGAGGGAGAUUAGUAUUGCCUGGGACAUGUGGAAGCAGGUAGGAUGGUGGGGCUUUCCUUAGCCAGAGUGUAGCAUCAAACUUGAAGAGGCAUCACAAGAAGUAUGCCAGAGGAAAGCUCUCCGGGUAUAAAAUUAUGUCAAGCUCUUGCUGACCGAUAUCAAAAGAGGAGGACAGUCUGUUGUCAAUCAACAUAUCUAAGACCCUACUAAGUGCCAGGGAAGGACAUGUUAAAUGCGAACAGACUCCUCUCUUUGCCUUCUGUUUUGCUUUAAAACCCAGUUAAGUACCAGAAAAGGCGGGAGGAAAUACAAAGACAAGGUCUUUACCCUUGAAGAGUUCACAGGCUGGUGGGAAGAGACCACACUUGAAUAAAUAUCAUUAGUGGAGGGACUUUUACUUAUCAAGUGUUUUGGGGACAUAGCCAAGGGAGGUGUUGAAUCUAUGUAGAAUUGGAAAGUUGCACAGAGGAUGUAAGUAAAGCAACUUUUGAUGAAAAGGGAAGCCCCCUACACAGAGAGCUGCCUCGGCAGGAACUCUGGUUUGAAGGAGCAUGGCUACUAUGGCUGAAGAAUUGGAUGACAGUUGUUAAUUACAUGGUUUGGAUAUGAUUAAGAAAUCUCAUCUCUGCUAUUUUAGGAAUCAGAACUGGCUCUUUGGACAAUAUACCUCCUUCCAUGAAUGACUGCUUUUCUAGAAAAAUUUUCAUUACCACUGUUGUGAAUAUUUGUAAUUUACUUUCUUUGGAGGUGAAUUUAGCAAAUCAAAAUUAGGCUUUAUUUUAUCAAAAAUGGAUAAUGGUGGGAUCGGGAAGUACUUCUUUCUCAGAAUCAUGCCCAACAGAGAGCAAAUAAAAGCUUUUGGGUUCCAUUUUACCUUGUUAUGUACUUUAUUCCUAAAAACUAGUGUAAGUGGGAAGUAAGUCCAUCCUUUCAUCUGUGCUUUUACUCUUUGCCCUUCAUUUGUCUUGGCAUCCUUUUUUAAAAUUAGUGUACAUUUUAUUAAAUGCUGAGAAUGUUUCUGUCAAUGAACAACUUCUUAGUGAUAUGAGUUAUGAAACCAAAGCUGUGUUCACAUUCAUUGCCUUGUGACAUCUUUGAACUAGGAAUUCUGAAGUCCACUUGGUCCAGCUUCUCACUUAAUAUAGGAUUUCCCUUUAUCAUGUUCUCAGCAGAAAAAACAAAAACAUACACUCCUUGAGUAUAUCUAGGAUAAGUAGUGGACAGUUUCUCAAGGUUGAUCUCAGGGUAGAUAUUUCCAUUUUUUAAUAUCCCUAAUUCUUAGAAAGGACUCCUUACUAUCUUUCUUAGGAAUCACAAUUACUGGUCUCAUUUCUGCCCUCUAGAGACUGAAUGUAAUUCUGCUUCUACCUGAGGAUCCUUUAACUACAUCAAGAAUGAUAUGCUUUUUUCUGUCCCCAUAUGUAUUUUGAAGACUUAAGAAAUACCUCUGGUUUCUUCAGUGUGAUGUUAGUUUCUGGACCUACUUAUCCUCUUGUAAAUUAAGCAGAUUGUGUGUAUUUUAUGUUAGAUUUAGAUUUUUUUAAAUUUAGAUUUAUAAAAAGAAAUAAGCUAUUAUUUUGAAUUUAAUGUUAAAACUAACUCUCAAAGAAUUGGGUAUCAGGGGUAGAAUUCACCUACUCUGUUCAUAGGCGUGUAUAGUCCAAAAGAAUUGUCAUAUUACAUCAGGAUUUAAAUUGAGUUAGAGUUGGACUCAAAUUCUUUCUAAAACAUCUAAAACACUCCAACAUCAGUUAAACAUUUAAAAGAUAUUUAAGCAAUUUAUGACAUCACCAUACACUAUAACUCUGAGCACUAAAUUCAGUGAAGGGUUGAGAGGCUUUGGGUUGAGGUGUGAACUUUGUUGGCUUUCUUCUGAUUUUGCCUGUAAGGGAAAACCAUACUUAACAUUUUGUCACACUUUUAUUUUAUUUAUAUAUUUUUAAUAUUCUUUGUAGUUGUUGAUGGACCUGUGUUUUAUUCAUUUAUAUGCCAUGCUGAGACUCAAACCCAGUGCCUCAUAUAUGCUAGGCAAGCACUCUACCACUGAGCCACAAUCCCAGCCCAUCACACCUUUAUUUUUAUUUUUUAGCUAAAUAGAGGUACAAAAUUGAAAUCUCCAUCUCCCCACAAUGCCUUGACUGAAAACUUAGGUCAUUCAGGACAGAGUACGAAUUAUUUUACCAUUUCCUGUAUAAUUUCUGUUGUAUAUGGAAGUUGCUUUACAGACUUGAGCCUGAGUCAUGAAAUCUUUCACCAUUGUGUAUAUUCUGGUUGACUGAUGUUGCAGGAGAUUUGAGUUUAGAGUUUAGGCUCAGCAAUCAUCAUCUGAGUGAGCAUAAUGGAAAAUUGCUUUAAAGAGUCAUGUAACCAAAGGUGUAACCAACUUUUGAUUUGCAAUGCUUGAAUUCUCUUGAAUAUCACUCCAUUCUUACUUGAAAUUCAGGAUGAGGCAUGACACUACCAAAUCGCAGUCUCAUUGUUGGGUAUUCUCUAUGUAACAUAAGCUUUGUUUUUGUUUUCUCAAAAGGCGUUUAAACAGAAAUCACCUUCAACUGUUUCCUGAGUUGCUGUUUCUUGGGACCUCGAAG